GCAUAGGCUGGCAGCUUUAGCUCUGAUUCGACCCUGAGCGUGGAGUAGCCAUACGCCAUAAGAGUGGCCCUAAAAAGCAAAAACAAAAAACAAAGAAACUAAAUACGUACUGCUAAAUGCCUAACUUUUAUAGAGUUUUGCAGUUAACAAAGCACUUUGAUGUAUAAUAAUUUUAUAGGAAGAUAUAUCUAUCUGUCUAUGAAAGGACUUUGUAAAUUCUGAAGCACCAUGUGAGUAUUCAUAUUUUUAUAACCAACUGAAGUUAUAAUGAUGAAUCAGGAUCUUCUAAAUUCAGAUAAUAUACUUCUGGUUAGCUAAAGUAAAAAUUUUGGAAUGUUUUCUGACUAGUGUUAAGAUUUAUUUUAAAUUAAAUUGCAAUAACAUCUGAUUUCUACAUUACUAUUCUCAUUAUUUAAAGAAAUAGAGAAAGUGACUCAGUAAAAGUCACGAGUGGUUAGAGUGCUUGGGGGCUAAUGUCAUUUCUGGGAACUACGGUAAGAGUCUUAUUCCAUUGAGAGUAAGUUUAUCGAUUAUUGAAAAAUCAGUGUGGUUAUUUAAAAAUAAAUAUAUUUAGCACUUUAUGUUUACAAAGUAACCUACAAUUGCUAAUAAGCAUACAUCAAAAUUUAUCACUAUAAAGGACUGGAAUAGUGCCUUUAUUGGUCAGCUUUAACAGGAUUUCCAGAUACCAUUGUGAUGACUCAUUCUAACUCUGUGGUUAGUUGAUAUUUGUAUACUGCAGGGCGUCAUCAAAGCUUAUUCCAUUGUUUAGUUGCACCAGCAUUUUCCCAGAGAAAUUAUUCUGAGAAAAAAACUUCAGAAAAAAAAAACAAAAAACUUUUUCUAUGCAUUUGUUUCAGAAUCUCAGUUUCUAGGACCUAGAAUUUCUUUCUAAAGUGUAACCUAAAUAUUUGUCUUCAGAAGUUAAAUACAUAAUGAUUUCUAAGGUAAUCACUAUUUAAAGCAUUUUGUAAUGAAAUAGUCUUUGGUUCAAGAUUUUUAUAUUCUACUAGUGGCUAUAAAACAUAUUUAAGAGAAGAUCACCAUGGGCGUUCCUGUCGUGGCGCAUCAGAUUCGUUUCCUCUGCGCCCCGAUGGGAACUCCUAAAGAAAAUUUUUUAAUAGCCAGUCAUAAUCCCCAAAUCUUAUGGUUUUCGAUAUUGAGUGUGCAUAGAAAUCCCCUGGAGGGCUUGUUGGGCUGAGCUAAAGGGAGAGAUGGAACUUGGGCUAGGUAGGUAAGAUUUGAACAGUAAGGAUUAGGGAAGCAAUUCGAGUAUUAGUAUAGAAGGAGUAAAUACAUAAAAGCAGAAAAAGCGUAACUUUGUUUUACUUCUGUUAAAUUAAUCAGCUUACUUGGAACAGGAGUUUUUACUGAGGGUGGAAAAUUAGGUUAAAGGGGAAGUAAUAACUAGAUUAAGAAGGUCCUUGGAGGUCAGAGAGAGACAUUUCUUUUUCCUUUUGUAGGUGGUUAGAUGCCUGGAACUUAUAACCGAAGGCUUGUAGUAUUUGACCAACAUUUGCUCAUUUCCCUACCCUGCUAACUACCAUUUUCUCUGUUUCUCAAAGUUCAACCUUUUUUUUUUUUCUUUUUUAGAUUCUACAUAUAAAUGAGAUCAUACAGUAGUCAUGUUGUGUCUGCCUUAUUUCACUUAGCAUAAUGUCUUCCUCCAUGUCAUCACAUAUGGCAGAAUUUCGCUCUUUCUUAUGACUGAAUAAUAUUCAUUCAUCAGUUGACACUUAGGUUGUUUCUAUAUGCUAUGUUGGCUAUUGUGAAUAAUGAUACCCUUAAAGUUUUUAUAUUUCACUAGAUUUGUGUCGUGCCUAUUUAUGCAGAGACUUGAAUUAGGUACCAAUUAGAGUUCAAGGUGAAUAACAUUGACCCACAUCUGAGGAAACCCUGUGUAAUAAUUUACAUUAUACAAUGUAGGUCUGGUUUUGAAAUAAUGGUUCUUCCCUUAUAUUAGUGCCAAAUAUAAGAUAGAAUCCUUUAUAAAAUAAGAGUUCCCAUUGUGGCUCAGCGGAAACGAACCCGACUGGUAUCCAUGAGGAUGCAGAUUCAAUCCCUGGCCUUCAUCAGUGGGUUAAGGUUCCCGUGUUGCUGUGAGCUGUGGUAGGCUGGCAGCUGUAGCUGCAGUUCAACUGGUGUGGCCCUAAAGAGACCAAAAAAAAAAAAAAAAAAAAAA
This 2182-nucleotide long non-coding RNA is filed under the name Sus scrofa (pig). RNAcentral's name for it is "lncRNA (ENSSSCG00025027857.1)". The record is from RNAcentral. Lineage: Eukaryota; Metazoa; Chordata; Mammalia; Artiodactyla; Suidae.